Molecule: RNA transcript, 3125 nt
Organism: Mya arenaria
Lineage: Eukaryota; Metazoa; Mollusca; Bivalvia; Myida; Myidae
Gene name: tumor necrosis factor receptor superfamily member 16-like
Exons: 7
Source: RefSeq, a predicted model, not a curated record
CAAAACUCACCUGGAUGGAAUGUGACACUCCCUUGUUCAUAGUUAUAUAACUUUUGAUGAAUACAAUUGACAUUAUAGCGGAUUUAAACAGUAUCAAGUAUUGGUUAUUUUGGGAUUGUACAAAUUUUUUAAGAGGUUUCCCAAUAUCAGAAAUAUUUCAGGAACAAUCCAUAAACAAAAUGGGGAGUGGUAUACAAGUAACUACUGGUUUGUUGGUGCUGGCUGUAUUCACACGAGGACUUUUGGCAGAAUUUGAUGACAAUUAUUAUUCAAUAGAAGUUAACCAUGAAACCAUCCCUUGUAAAAUGUGCCCGCCUGGCAGUUACUGGAUUCAACAGUGUAGUCAAGAUGGUGGCCAGGCAAAAUGUAAGGACUGUCCUGAUGGACGCUUUACAGAGCACUACAGUCGAGGGAUUUAUUGCGAAAGGUGUUCUGAAUGUAAAGGAAAUUAUAAAGAAUCACGUGAAGUUGUGGUAAAGGAGUGUACGCGGUUUAAUGACACGAAAUGUGAGUGUAAACCAGGGUACUGGAGAGAAGGACAGGUCGGGGAUUGCCGAGAAGUGUCGCCGUGUGAGCCCGGAUAUGGUGUGAAAAAAAUAGCGAACAGUCACAAUGAUACAGCAUGCGAGAAAUGUGUUAACGGGAAGACCAUCUCAAACACCAGCUCCGAGGUGACGCCAUGCCAGAACUGCUCAGUUUGCCCCGAGGGAUGGGUUAAGAAAAGCUCAUGUAACAAAUAUGAGGAUACUGUCUGUGUCAAAAAAGAUGAAGUAGAGGAUAACAAGGUUGGUCUUAUUGUUGGAGUGUUCUGUGGCGUACUGACUGUACUCAUUCUUGUGGGUAUCAUCCUUUUCUACAGUUGUCCAGAAAAGACCGCUCAAGUUCUUCAAAAGUUGCGUACUAGCUGUAGAAAAAGGCAACGUCAUGAAAAACACGAUGACGUGGAACAAGCCACCCCACUACAGGAAGGCAAUGCUAUUGAGAUGCUUCCAGUAAAUGGAGGAGACAACAGUUAGUACCCCCCUUACGUUAGAAUACUUACUGCACGAACAGGUGUCAACUUGCCACACUCAUAUGCGAGCUCGAGAAUCUCAUUGGCAGAAGCAUAAGCUUGAAGACUACGAAACAUAUACCAUGUGUAUCAACAGGGGUUGAACUGACUAUGUACAGUAGAACUUUGUAAGAUUGGCAUGUACAGUAAAACACUGUAAGAAUGGCAUGUACGGUAAAACACGGCUAGAAUGGCAUGUAUGGUAAAACACGGCUAGAAUGGCAUGUACGGUAGUACCCGGUUAGAACGGCAUGUACGGUAGGGCACGUCUAGAAUGGCAUGUACGGUAGCCAAUGACUGAUUUAUGAGAGUAUUAGCGAGUAUACAUCUUUGAGGCUGUUACAUGUACAUGUGUUUUUAAUUCUGUACUUUAUUGUUACUGUUCAACCCCUUUGUAUUGUUUUUGUUUUGUUUAUUAGUCUUGUUUCAUGUGCAUGUUGACAUACAUUAACAUCAACUUUUUUUUUCAUAAAUUUAUGACAUUAGUUUGUAUUUAUUUAGAAUAUUUAUAUUUAUUCCAUGUAGAAGUUUUCGAAUAAACACAAUAUUUUUAAAAUUUAAGAGAGUUCCUGACGAUUUUGUUGAAUGUUCAGGAACAUUUUCAUUUUGCAUAUUAGGGCUGACUUUUCUUAUCUGGUGUCUUUCAUAAAGUUCAAGUACCCUUUAAAAAAAGUCUCUUUAAAAUGUUAACCCGAGUGCUAAAUCAUUUCUCAAUCUUGCAUUAAAUUACAUUUCAACCUUUUUGUGGGAAUAAUUAUGAGUGUCUAGAAAAUGGUCUAUUCAAUGAGUCUAUAUUUAAUUUGACAUUAGAAAAUACGAGCAUAACAGAGGGCAUUUUAAGAACAUUUGGACAUUUUUCAUUAUUACAGGCAUUACUUUUUUAUUACAGGCAUUAUUUUUAACCAGGUUUUCAACGAAAACCAGGUUAUUAGAAUGAGGUUGUCGUUGGGCGGGCGGAUGGGCGGGCGGGCGUCAAACAUUGGUUUCUGUUCAAUAACUUUAGUUAGCAUUGAUAGAUAUUGAUGAAACUUGGUGUGUAGGUAGCUUAUGGGAAGAGCUAGCUUGGGAUUGCUUUUGAGGGGGGUAGGGCUAAGGUCAUGGUCACUGUUACUAAAAAUAGAAAAAUGGUUUCUGCCCAAUAACUUUAGUUAGCAUUGAUAGAUAUUGACGAAACUUGGUGUGUAAGUUGCUUAUGUGAAGAGCUAGCUUGGGAUUGCUUUUGAGUGGGGAGGGCCUAAGGUCAAGGUCACUAUUACUUAAAAUAGAAAAAUGGUCAAGGUCACUGUUACUAAAAAUUUAAAAAUGGUGUCCGCCCAAUAACUUAAGUUAGCAUUGAUAUAUAUUGAUAAAACUUGGUGUGUAGGUAGCUUGUGUACAGAGCUAGCUUGGGAUUGCUUUUGAGGGGGGUGGAGCUAAGGUCGAGGUCACUGUUACCAAAAAUAGAAAAAUGGUUUCUGCCCAAUAACUAAAGUUAGGAUUGAUAUAUAUAUUGACAAAAUUUUGUGUGCAGGUACUUGUAGCUUACGUGAAGAGCAAGCUUUGAAUUUCUUUUGAGGGGGGUGGGGUCAAGGUCAUUGUUACUAAAAAUAGAAAAAUGGUUUCUGCCCAAUAACUUUAGUAAGCAUUGAUAGAUAUUGAUGAAACUUAGAGCGAAGGUAGCUUAUGUGAAGAGCUAGCUUGGGAGGUGGGGUCAAGGUCAUUGUUACUAAAAAUAGAAAAAUGGUUUCUGCCCAAUAACUUUAGUAAGCAUUGAUAGAUAUUGAUGAAACUUAGAGCGAAGGUAGCUUAUGUGAAGAGCUAGCUUGGGAGGUGGGGUCAAGGUCACUGUUCCUAAAAAUAGAAAAAUGUUUUUCUGCCCAACAACUUAGUUAGAAUUGAUGGAUAGUGAUGAAUCUUAGUGUGAAUAUAGCUUAUAUGAAGCUGCAGAUUGAACUUGCUCAUACAACAAAUUAAUUGGCUAUAAUUUCUGAUUGCCCAUAACAAAAACCUGGUUUCGUCGCAUUGAGGCGUUUCUAGUUAUUUUUCAAAUUAUUUUUAUUGAUUUGUUGUUGAAUAAAUAUGUUGUUUAAAGUUU